GUGGGGAAUAUUGCACAAUGGGCGCAAGCCUGAUGCAGCCAUGCCGCGUGUAUGAAGAAGGCCUUCGGGUUGUAAAGUACUUUCAGCGGGGAGGAAGGCGAUAAGGUUAAUAACCUUGUCGAUUGACGUUACCCGCAGAAGAAGCACCGGCUAACUCCGUGCCAGCAGCCGCGGUAAUACGGAGGGUGCAAGCGUUAAUCGGAAUUACUGGGCGUAAAGCGCACGCAGGCGGGCUGUCAAGUCGGAUGUGAAAUCCCCGGGGUCAACCUGGGAACUGCAUUCGAAACUGGCAGGCUAGAGUCUUGUAGAGGGGGGUAGAAUUCCAGGUGUAGCGGUGAAAUGCGUAGAGAUCUGGAGGAAUACCGGUGGCGAAGGCGGCCCCCUGGACAAAGACUGACGCUCAGGUGCGAAAGCGUGGGGAGCAAACAGGAUUAGAAACCCCAGUAGUCC
Molecule: ribosomal RNA, 450 nt
Filed under: uncultured bacterium
Lineage: Bacteria
Description: partial 16S ribosomal RNA
Rfam family: Bacterial small subunit ribosomal RNA
Source: RNAcentral